This 236-nucleotide ribosomal RNA is filed under the name uncultured bacterium. RNAcentral's name for it is "partial 16S ribosomal RNA". It matches the Rfam family "Bacterial small subunit ribosomal RNA", at positions 541 to 776 of the family's 1533-position model. The record is from RNAcentral.
UUGUUCGGAUUUACUGGGCGUACAGGGAGCGUAGGCGGUUGGAUAAGCCCUCCGUGAAAUCUCCAGGCUUAACCUGGAAAGUGCAGAGGGGACUGUUCAGCUAGAGGAUGGGAGAGGAGCGCGGAAUUCCCGGUGUAGCGGUGAAAUGCGUAGAGAUCGGGAGGAAGGCCGGUGGCGAAGGCGGCGCUCUGGAACAUUUCUGACGCUGAGGCUCGAAAGCGUGGGGAGCAAACAGG